Molecule: long non-coding RNA, 421 nt
Filed under: Agrilus planipennis (emerald ash borer)
Lineage: Eukaryota; Metazoa; Arthropoda; Insecta; Coleoptera; Buprestidae
Description: uncharacterized LOC108744637, transcript variant X1
Source: RNAcentral
UGAUGUCAUUUUCUCGUCUGAUGUUGUUGGGUGAAGAGCGGACGUGCAUAAUUUGUUGGUUCUAGUAAAUACAUUAAUUAGUAUUUAAUUAUAUCACAAGUACAGAGCAGCCCCAUAAAGGGAAAUUGUUUCGUUUCCACGCAGCUGUUGCCUACUGUGCCAUUCAUCUUCGAAAAUUGUUGGAUAGUUUCGAAUAACCUCAACUUUAGAUCGAGUAUCAUAUUUCAGGAGAAAGACAAGGAUUAGUAGAACUAGAGUAGAUUAUCAACUACAGUCUAGGAAAGCAUAAGUUGGACUGUUAAAUCAUCACAUUGUGGCCCUAAAGCUUUAUAAUUUAUGUUCACAAAUUUACUAAGAAGGGACAGACUAUUAAGGUAAUAAUUGAAUGUAUGUUUUUUUCUGUUAGCAAUAAUCUAGUGAA